RNAcentral lists this long non-coding RNA (621 nucleotides) under Equus asinus (donkey). RNAcentral's name for it is "lncRNA (ENSEASG00005038516.1)". Lineage: Eukaryota; Metazoa; Chordata; Mammalia; Perissodactyla; Equidae. The record is from RNAcentral.
GUGACUUGCCAUCUGGAAAGAGCACAGAGAAGCCCUGUGAUGGAAGUGACAGGCGUCUAGUAGAUAACGUAACCGGGUAGUGCACUGGCCAGUCUGAGCUCUUCAUACCUGACCUCUCCAGUCGCCUUGAGCCAAGGGCUGAUGGACGCAAAGGAGCCAAAAGAUACAGCCAUGCAGGGAGGGUCCUCAGUGGGUCCUGGACAGCAGAACGUUUUCAGAAGCUGAAAGAGAGAUUCAUCAAAUUGCCCGGCUGGCAAAUCUGGAUGAGAACCUCAGGCUCUCCACCCCUGCGGCGGAAACUCUGAAGCACCCACUGGAGAAUUCUUGGAAAACCCGUGGAUUCACAGGAAAAGGAAGGAUGAAGUUGUGCACAGCAGGCACGGUGUCAAGAUGCCCGGUGUGCGUAUGGUUUGCUCACUGUCGCCCCCAGGGACCGUGUGUUGUCCGCUGCCCCACCCUCAUCCCAGAAGAAUGCUUUCGUACGGUGAAUACUCGGCAGAUGGAAGGAAAAACAAACACAGAGAAAUGAAGUACCCAGCAUGGCCCCUGACGUCAGAGCUGGGGUGGUUUGCAUGGGCGAUGUUCCAGCCUUCUGGUCCCCCGUCCUGACCGUUCGAGGCC